Long non-coding RNA from Capsicum annuum, 777 nucleotides. RefSeq lists it as uncharacterized. The record is from RefSeq and is a predicted model, not a curated record. The transcript is spliced from 2 exons. Lineage: Eukaryota; Viridiplantae; Streptophyta; Magnoliopsida; Solanales; Solanaceae.
UUUAAUGUUCCUUUACCACAGCCUCCCAUAUCUGCGAGUGGGCAAGGAAUGUCACCAUUUUCCUUGGGUUUCCAUUUAGUGGAAUGAACGUAGGACGAUAGUAUAGCUAAUUGGGGAUACUAUUAAUUUACGUAAGUGAAAUAGAAGUUCCUUUGCUCUAGGAUCUGCUUGGCAGCACAUAUACACAAAUGCACAUUCAUUUAUUAGUUUUACAAUAAUAAUAAUAAGAAGUCCGUUGCCUAGAGAAUUGAUGCAAUUAAAGCUCAAAGGUCAUAUGUGGUCAUUUAGAAUAUGGGUUUUUGGAGGAAGCAAAUAGAAAGGGGAUUCCUCUGUUUCUCCAGCAGCCAUAGCCGCUAUAGAAGUUUUGAAUAUUCUGGGAACUUGAAGGACUAAAUGGAAUUUAAAGCGUUGAGUGAGGAGAUUGUUGAGACUUAUUGGGUAUCCUUGGAGAUACAUAGCCCGUUUGGGCCUACUAUGUCAUGUGGUAGGUGUUGAGUGUGCAGGUGGCAAAACUUGUGGCUAGAGGAAUAUCUUUUUGGCUCAGCUGAUAGGCUCCGUUGAUUUCAUUCCAUCGGUAGUUGCUCCAUUCUGGAUACUAAUUAUGUUCUGUCACAUUGUUAUUACUAUUGAGGAAUGCCCCGUUUACUAUUUAUUCAAUUUCAACUUUAUAGAGACAGUCUUAUAAUUUGAGUUAUGUAUUCACAUCAUGCAUAUAUUGUACAAUGAUAAGAAAGUUCAUAAACACUUUUAUAUAGAUUUUCAGAAUGUUUACUUGAA